AUACGAACCGUGAAAGCGUGGCCUAUC
Molecule: small nuclear RNA, 27 nt
Filed under: Arabidopsis thaliana (thale cress)
Lineage: Eukaryota; Viridiplantae; Streptophyta; Magnoliopsida; Brassicales; Brassicaceae
Description: snRNA_04949
Source: RNAcentral